GACGAACGCUGGCGGCGUGCUUAACACAUGCAAGUCGAACGGAAAGGCCCCUUUGGGGGUACUCGAGUGGCGAACGGGUGAGUAACACGUGAGUAACCUGCCCUUGACUUCGGGAUAACUUCAGGAAACUGGGGCUAAUACCGGAUAGGAAUCCUUGCUGCAUGAUGGGGGUUGGAAAGCUUCGGCGGUUUUGGAUGGACUCGCGGCUUAUCAGCUUGUUGGUGGGGUAGUGGCUUACCAAGGCUUUGACGGGUAGCCGGCCUGAGAGGGCGACCGGCCACAUUUGGACUGAGAUACGGCCCAGACUCCUACGGGAGGCAGCAGUGGGGAAUAUUGCACAAUGGGCGGAAGCCUGAUGCAGCAACGCCGCGUGCGGGAUGACGGCCUUCGGGUUGGAAACCGCUUUCAGCAGGGGCGAAGCUUGUGGUGACGGUACCUGCAGAAGAAGCACCGGCUAACUACGUG
RNAcentral lists this ribosomal RNA (465 nucleotides) under uncultured bacterium. Its description in RNAcentral is "partial 16S ribosomal RNA". It matches the Rfam family "Bacterial small subunit ribosomal RNA", at positions 28 to 507 of the family's 1533-position model. The record is from RNAcentral.